RNAcentral lists this ribosomal RNA (335 nucleotides) under uncultured Oscillospiraceae bacterium. Its description in RNAcentral is "bacterial SSU rRNA". It matches the Rfam family "Bacterial small subunit ribosomal RNA", at positions 355 to 703 of the family's 1533-position model. The record is from RNAcentral. Lineage: Bacteria; Bacillati; Bacillota; Clostridia; Eubacteriales; Oscillospiraceae.
UGGGGAAUAUUGGACAAUGGGCGAAAGCCUGACCCAGCGACGCCGCGUGAAGGAUGAAGGUCUUCGGAUUGUAAACUUCUGUUGACAGGGACGAAAUAAAUGACGGUACCUGUAUAGAAAGCCACGGCUAACUACGUGCCAGCAGCCGCGGUAAUACGUAGGUGGCAAGCGUUAUCCGGAUUUACUGGGUGUAAAGGGUGUGUAGGCGGGGAAUCAAGUCAGAUGUGAAAAUCAUGGGCUCAACUCAUGACUUGCAUUUGAAACUGAUUUUUCUUGAGUGUGGGAGAGGUAAAUGGAAUUCCCGGUGUAGCGGUGAAAUGCGUAGAUAUCGGGGA